Molecule: ribosomal RNA, 1261 nt
Filed under: uncultured Bacillus sp.
Lineage: Bacteria; Bacillati; Bacillota; Bacilli; Caryophanales; Bacillaceae
Also listed under: 1 other name
Description: bacterial SSU rRNA
Rfam family: Bacterial small subunit ribosomal RNA
Source: RNAcentral
GAGCCGGGGGGGGGGCCUAUCAUGCAGUCGAGCGUGAACAAUGGGAGGCUGCUCCCUGAUGUUAGCGGCGGACGGGUGAGUAACACGUGGGUAACCUGCCUGUAAGACUGGGAUAACUCCGGGAAACCGGGGCUAAUACCGGAUGCUUGUUUGAACCGCAUGGUUCAGACAUAAAAGGUGGCUUCGGCUACCACUUACAGAUGGACCCGCGGCGCAUUAGCUAGUUGGUGAGGUAACGGCUCACCAAGGCAACGAUGCGUAGCCGACCUGAGAGGGUGAUCGGCCACACUGGGACUGAGACACGGCCCAGACUCCUACGGGAGGCAGCAGUAGGGAAUCUUCCGCAAUGGACGAAAGUCUGACGGAGCAACGCCGCGUGAGUGAUGAAGGUUUUCGGAUCGUAAAGCUCUGUUGUUAGGGAAGAACAAGUGCCGUUCAAAUAGGGCGGCACCUUGACGGUACCUAACCAGAAAGCCACGGCUAACUACGUGCCAGCAGCCGCGGUAAUACGUAGGUGGCAAGCGUUGUCCGGAAUUAUUGGGCGUAAAGGGCUCGCAGGCGGUUUCUUAAGUCUGAUGUGAAAGCCCCCGGCUCAACCGGGGAGGGUCAUUGGAAACUGGGGAACUUGAGUGCAGAAGAGGAGAGUGGAAUUCCACGUGUAGCGGUGAAAUGCGUAGAGAUGUGGAGGAACACCAGUGGCGAAGGCGACUCUCUGGUCUGUAACUGACGCUGAGGAGCGAAAGCGUGGGGAGCGAACAGGAUUAGAUACCCUGGUAGUCCACGCCGUAAACGAUGAGUGCUAAGUGUUAGGGGGUUUCCGCCCCUUAGUGCUGCAGCUAACGCAUUAAGCACUCCGCCUGGGGAGUACGGGUCGCAAGACUGAAACUCAAAGGAAUUGACGGGGGCCCGCACAAGCGGUGGAGCAUGUGGUUUAAUUUCGAAGCAACGCGAAGAACCUUACCAGGUCUUGACAUCCUUCUGACCAUUCCUAGAGAUAGGACGUCCCCUUCGGGGGCAGAGUGACAGGUGGUGCAUGGUUGUCGUCAGCUCGUGCUCGUGAGAUGUUAGGUUAAAGUCCCGCCACGAGCCGCAACCCUUUGAAUCUUAAGUUGCCAGCAUUCAGUUUGGCAUCUCUAGUGAACUGCUCGUUGACAAUCCGAGAACGGUGUGGAUGACCGUUCCAAUCACUCUUCCCUAGACUGGUCCUACACACGCUCUACAAUUGGACAAAAUCAAAAGGACACGCAAACUCGCCCAGAGU